UACAGAGGUCGCGAGCGUUGUUCGGAUUCAUUGGGCGUAAAGGGUGCGUAGGCGGCGGGGUAAGUCUGAUGUGAAAUCCCGGGGCUCAACUCUGGAAUUGCAUUGAAUACUACCUUGCUAGAGUACCGGAGAGGAAACUGGAAUUUACGGUGUAGCAGUGAAAUGCGUAGAGAUCGUGAGGAACACCAGUGGCGAAGGCGAGUUUCUGGACGGUAACUGACGCUGAGGCACGAAAGCCAGGGGAGCAAACAGG
RNAcentral lists this ribosomal RNA (253 nucleotides) under uncultured bacterium. Its description in RNAcentral is "partial 16S ribosomal RNA". It matches the Rfam family "Bacterial small subunit ribosomal RNA", at positions 524 to 776 of the family's 1533-position model. The record is from RNAcentral.